Transfer RNA from Selaginella moellendorffii, 74 nucleotides. It matches the Rfam family "tRNA". Rfam says of the family: Transfer RNA (tRNA) molecules are approximately 80 nucleotides in length. Their secondary structure includes four short double-helical elements and three loops (D, anti-codon, and T loops). Further hydrogen bonds mediate the characteristic L-shaped molecular structure. tRNAs have two regions of fundamental functional importance: the anti-codon, which is responsible for specific mRNA codon recognition, and the 3' end, to which the tRNAs corresponding amino acid is attached (by aminoacyl-tRNA synthetases). tRNAs cope with the degeneracy of the genetic code in two manners: having more than one tRNA (with a specific anti-codon) for a particular amino acid; and 'wobble' base-pairing, i.e. permitting non-standard base-pairing at the 3rd anti-codon position. The record is from Rfam. Lineage: Eukaryota; Viridiplantae; Streptophyta; Lycopodiopsida; Selaginellales; Selaginellaceae.
GCCGGAGUAGCUCAUUUGGUCAGAGCGUGUGACUGAAAAUCACAAGGUCGGUGGUUCAAUCCCACUCUCCGGCA